AUUGAACGCUGGCGGCAGGCCUAACACAUGCAAGUCGAGCGAGCGGCGGACGGGUGAGUAAUGUAUGGGGAUCUGCCCGAUAGAGGGGGAUAACUACUGGAAACGGUGGCUAAUACCGCAUACUAUCGGAUGAACCCAUAUGGGAUUAGCUAGUAGGUGGGGUAAAGGCUCACCAAGGCGACGAUCCCUAGCUGGUUUGAGAGGAUGAUCAGCCACACUGGGACUGAGACACGGCCCAGACUCCUACGGGAGGCAGCAGUGGGGAAUGUUGGACAAUGGGCGAAAGCCUGAUGCAGCCAUGCCGCGUGUAUGAUGAAGGCCUUAGGGUUGUAAAGUACUUUCGGCAGGGAGGCGUUACCCGCAGAAGAAGCACCGGCUAACUCCGUGCCAGCAGCCGCGGUAAUAC
RNAcentral lists this ribosomal RNA (406 nucleotides) under uncultured bacterium. RNAcentral describes it as "partial 16S ribosomal RNA". It matches the Rfam family "Bacterial small subunit ribosomal RNA", at positions 30 to 526 of the family's 1533-position model. The record is from RNAcentral.